UUCCAAUUCAUCAUUGACCGGAUACGCUCAAGGUUGGUUGGGUGGAAAGGCAAGCUGAUGAACAUGGCAGGUAGAAGGGUACUGAUGCGUGCUGUUUUGACGGCACUGCCGGUGUUUGCAAUGACAAUACUCAAAGUGCCGAAGAAGAUUCUAAAAGAGGUGGACAAAGCAAGGAGGCAGUUUCUAUAGGCUCAUGAUGAGAAUGUCACUGGCGCCAAAUGCAAGGUGGCCUGGGGCAAAGUCUGUCUUCCGGUGGACAAGGGGGGCUAG
This 270-nucleotide ribosomal RNA is filed under the name Triticum aestivum (bread wheat). Its description in RNAcentral is "partial small subunit ribosomal RNA". The record is from RNAcentral. Lineage: Eukaryota; Viridiplantae; Streptophyta; Magnoliopsida; Poales; Poaceae.